Molecule: ribosomal RNA, 1439 nt
Filed under: uncultured bacterium
Lineage: Bacteria
Description: bacterial SSU rRNA
Rfam family: Bacterial small subunit ribosomal RNA
Source: RNAcentral
AGAGUUUGAUCCUGGCUCAGAACGUACGCUGGCGGCACGCCUAACACAUGCAAGUCGAACGAAGUAGCAAUACUUAGUGGCAGACGGGUGAGUAACAUGUGGGUAUCUGCCCUUUGGCCUGGAAUAACACGAGGAAACUUGUGCUAAUACCGGAUAAGUCUUUACGGAGAAAGCUUUAUGCACCAUUGGAUGAGCCCGCACUUGAUUAGUUUGUUGGUGGGGUAAUGGCCUACCAAGACUGUGAUCAAUAGCUGAUUUGAGAGGAUGAUCAGCCACAUUGGGACUGAGACACGGCCCAAACUCCUACGGGAGGCAGCAGUGGGGAAUCUUGCACAAUGGAGGAAACUCUGAUGCAGCGAUGCCGCGUGAGUGAAGAAGGCCCUUGGGUUGUAAAGCUCUUUCGUCGGGGAAGAAAAUGACUGUACCCGAAUAAGAAGGUCCGGCUAACUUCGUGCCAGCAGCCGCGGUAAUACGAAGGGACCUAGCGUAGUUCGGAAUUACUGGGCUUAAAGAGUUCGUAGGUGGUUGAAAAAGUUAGUGGUGAAAUCCCAGAGCUUAACUCUGGAACUGCCAUUAAAACUUUUCAGCUAGAGUAUGAUAGAGGAAAGCAGAAUUUCUAGUGUAGAGGUGAAAUUCGUAGAUAUUAGAAAGAAUACCAAUUGCGAAGGCAGCUUUCUGGAUCAUUACUGACACUGAGGAACGAAAGCAUGGGUAGCGAAGAGGAUUAGAUACCCUCGUAGUCCAUGCCGUAAACGAUGUGUGUUAGACGUUGGAAAUUUAUUUUCAGUGUCGCAGGGAAACCGAUAAACACACCGCCUGGGGAGUACGACCGCAAGGUUAAAACUCAAAUGAAUUGACGGGGACCCGCACAAGUAGUGGAGCAUGUGGUUUAAUUCGAAGAUACGCGCAGAACCUUACCAACACUUGACAUGUUCGUCGCGACUCUAAGAGAUUAGAGUUUUCGGUUCGGCCGGACGAAACACAGGUGCUGCAUGGCUGUCGUCAGCUCGUGUCGUGAGAUGUUGGGUUAAGUCCCGCAACGAGCGCAACCCUCACUUUUAGUUGCCAUCAUUAAGUUGGGCACUCUGAAAGAACUGCCAGUGAUAAGCUGGAGGAAGGUGGGGAUGACGUCAAGUCCUCAUGGCCCUUACGUGUUGGGCUACACACGUGCUACAAUGGUAUCUACAACAGGAAGCAAGACUGCGAAGUUAAGCAAAUCCCUAAAAGAUACCUCAGUUCGGAUUGCACUCUGCAACUCGAGUGCAUGAAGCUGGAAUUACUAGUAAUCGUGGAUCAGCGUGCCACGGUGAAUGCGUUCCCGGGUCUUGUACACACCGCCCGUCACACCAUGGGAGUUGGUUCUACCUUAAGGCAAGGUUUAAAACCCUUGACCACGGUAUAGUCAGCGACUGGGGUGAAGUCGUAACAAGGUAACCGUA